This 1465-nucleotide ribosomal RNA is filed under the name uncultured Bordetella sp. RNAcentral's name for it is "partial 16S-23S ribosomal RNA intergenic spacer". It matches the Rfam family "Bacterial small subunit ribosomal RNA". The record is from RNAcentral. Lineage: Bacteria; Pseudomonadati; Pseudomonadota; Betaproteobacteria; Burkholderiales; Alcaligenaceae.
UGAUCUGGCUCAGAUUGAACGCUGGCGGGAUGCUUUACACGUGCAAGUCGAACGGCAGCGGACUUCGGUCUGGUGGCGAGUGGCGAACGGGUGAGUAAUGUAUCGGAACGUGCCCUAGUAGCGGGGGAUAACUACGCGAAAGCGUAGCUAAUACCACGCCGCCUUCGGGGAAAGCGGGACCUUCGGGCUCGGCACUAUUGAAACGGCCGAUAUCGGAUUAGCUAGUUGGUGGGGUAACGGCUCACCAGGCGACGAUCCGUAGCUGGUUUGAGAGGGCGACCAGCCACGCUGGGACUGAGACACGGCCCAGACUCCUGCGGGAGGCAGCAGGUGGGGAAUUUGGACAAUGGGGAAACCUGAUCCAGCCAUCCCGCGUGUGCGAUGAAGGCCUUCGGGUUGUAAAGCACUUUUGGCAGGAAAGAAACGGCACGGGAUAAUACCCCGUGCAACUGACAGUACCUGCAGAAUAAGCACCACGGCUAACUACGUGCCAGCAGCCGCGGUAAUACGUAGGUGCAAGCGUUAAUCAGGAUACUGGGCGUAAAGCGUGCGCAGGCGGUUCGGAAAGAAGAUGUGAAAUCCCAGGCUUAACCUGGAACUGCAUUUUUAACUACCGAGCUAGAGUGUGUCAGAGGAGGUGGAAUUCCGCGUGUAGCAGUGAAAUGCGUAGAUAUACGGAGGAACGCGAUGGCGAAGGCAGCCUCCUGGGAUAACACUGACGCUCAUGCACGAAAGCGUGGGCAAACCAGGAUUGAAUACCCUGGUAGUCCGCCACAAAGCGAUGUCAACUAGCUGUUGGGGCCUUCGGGCCUUGGUAGCGCAACUAACGCGUGAAGUUGACCGCCUGGGGAAGUACGGUCGCAAGAUUAAAACUCAAAAGGAAUUGACGGGGACCCGCACAAGCGGUGGAUGAUGUGGAUUAAUUCGAUGCAACGCGAAGAGCCUUACCUACCCUUGACAUGUGGAAUCCCGAAGAGAUUUGGGAGUGCUCGCAAGAGAACCGGAACACAGGUGCUGCAUGGCUGUCGUCAGCUCGUGUCGUGAGAUGUUGGGUUAAGUCCCGCAACGAGCGCAACCCUUGUCAUUAGGUUGCUACGAAAGGGCACUCUAAUGAGACUGCCGGUGACAAACCGGAGGAAGGUGGGGAUGACGUCAAGUCCUCAUGGCCCUUAUGGGUAGGGCUUCACACGUCAUACAAUGGUCGGGACAGAGGGUCGCCAACCCGCGAGAGAGCCAAUCCCAGAAACCCGAUCGUAGUCCGGAUCGCAGUCUGCAACUCGACUGCGUGAAGUCGGAAUCGCUAGUAAUCGCGGAUCAGCAUGUCGCGGUGAAUACGUUCCCGGGUCUUGUACACACCGCCCGUCACACCAUGGGAGUGGGUUUCACCAGAAGUAGUUAGCCUAACCGUAAGGAGGGCGAUUACCACGGUAGGAUUCAUGACUGGGGUGAGGUCGUAACAAGGUAG